This 3384-nucleotide ribosomal RNA is filed under the name Triticum aestivum (bread wheat). RNAcentral's name for it is "partial small subunit ribosomal RNA". The record is from RNAcentral. Lineage: Eukaryota; Viridiplantae; Streptophyta; Magnoliopsida; Poales; Poaceae.
AUGGACGUGGUGACCAGCGUCAUGGGAAGCCUACUCGCCAAGCUGGGUGAGCUGCUUUUGGCGGAGUACAAGCUACAGAAGGGCGUCAAGGAAGACGUCGAGUCCCUUGAGCUAGAGAUGAAGGGCGUACACGCUGCCCUUACAAUGGUGGCAAAGGUGCCAAGGGACCAGCUCGACCAGCAGGUGAAGAUCUGGGCAGAUGAACUCACACGCCUGUCAUACGACAUGGAGGAUGUCAUUGACAACUUCCUGGUGUACGUUGAGGGGUUCGAUCCAGCAGCCAACUCUCACAAGCUCAAAUUGCUAGUGGAGAAAAUGACCAGCUUGUUCACCAAAGGCAAGGCUCGCCAUCAGAUCGCCAAUGCCAUCAAGGACAUCAAGACCCAUGCCAAAGACCUGGCUGACUGGCAUGACAGAUACAGUAAAGUCAAGGACACCAGCAUAAACAACACCAUUUAUCCUUGUCUAGCGGCUUUGUACAAGAAUCAGAAAGACCUCGUUGGCAUUGAAGACGCUCGGGACGAGCUAAUCAAGAGACUGACACAUGGUGAUGGGGAUGUGUCAAAUCAGCAGCUUAAGAUAGUCUCUAUUUAUGGAGCUGGAGGACUCGGCAAGACAACUCUUGCCAAGGCAGUGUAUGAUAGUCUUCAAACAAAAUUUAGUUGCAAGGCUUUUGUUCCGGUGGGUCGAAACCCUCAAGUGAACAAAGUUCUUAAGGACAUCCUCCUGGAACUGGAACCAAGCAAGUCUAUGGGUGAUAUAGCCAUAUUGGAUGAAAGACAACUCAUCAACAAGCUCGGAGAUCUACUUCAAAAUAAGAGGUACUUCAUCGUCGUCGAUGACAUAUGGGAUACAACGGCAUGGGGAAUAAUCAAAUUUGCAUUGUUGGAUAACAAUCUUGGAAGUCGAGUCAUCACAACUACUCGUCUUCAUCAAGUUGCCACAAAGACCGGUGAUGUCUACAAGCUAGAACCACUUUCUCACAAAUUGUCUGAAGAACUAUUCUAUACAAUAUUAUCUGAUGGUAAAGGAAAAUGCCCUUAUGAUCAACCUUCUGAGGUAUCUAAAAAAUUUCUACAGAGAUGCGCUGGUGUGCCGCUUGCUAUCAUUGCAAUAGCUAGUUUGUUGCGUGAUAAACCAAUGGAGAAUUGGUCUAUGCUAUACAACUCUAUUGGUUUUGGAAAUGGAUAUAAUAAAGAUAUUGAUGACAUGAGAAGGAUAUUAAUGUUUAGCUAUGAUGAUCUACCUUAUCAUCUAAGGCCUUGUCUGUUGCAUCUGAGCAUAUUUCCAGAAGACGCUUUGAUCAUGAAAGACACAUUGAUAUGGAUGUGGGUAGCCGAAGGCUUUGUCCAUGAGGAGCCAGGGAUAGGGUUAUUUGAGAUUGGAGAGAGAUACUUUAAUGAUCUCGUAAAUAGAAGCAUGCUCCUGCCUGUAGAGCAGAAACAAGAUAAUGCCAUAGGUGCUUGUCGUGUUCAUGAUAUGGUUCUUGAUAUAAUUUGUUUGUUAUCAAAGGAACAAAAUUUUGUCACCAUACUGGAUAGUAAUGGGAAAUAUUCAUCUUCACAAAGCAAAGCUCGUAGGUUAGCUGUCCAAACAAGAGAUGAAGAGCAGCACAACCAUUUGGUUAACAAGAGCAUGCCAAAGCUGAGAUCAUGUUAUGCCAGCAUGUGUCAUAUAAGUAUGAUGCCAUCACUUUCAUGCUUUCAAGUGUUACGUGUUCUAGAUAUGAAGAACUGCAAAUUUCUGGAAAACUGUCAUCUUGAGCAUCUUGGAAAGUCACAUCUGUUGAGAUACUUAAGUCUAGAGAACACAAAUAUUAGUGAGCUCCCAAAAGAUAUAGGAGAUCUAAAGUUUCUGCAGACACUAGACUUGAGGAACUGCAAGAUAAAAGGAUUGCCGCAGAGUACUAGUUUGCUGAGGAAACUUAAGUGCCUGCGUGUUGGCAGCAUGCGCUUGUGCACUGAUGGUUUUGAACAUAUUUGUAUUGAAGCGCCGAAUUGGAUAGGGAACCUGACAUCCCUGGAAGAGCUAUCUUUGAAAAUUAGUGGCGAAUUUUCUACCUUCGUUGAAGGACUCGGUAAGCUGACAGAGCUGAGGGUGCUAGGAUGUGAUUUAAGGGGACAUUUGGAUGAGCGCUCGAUGAAAACUUUGGUGGGUUCUGUAUGCAAACUUGAGAAAAUCCAAAUCAUACAUCUUGAGGACCUCGAUGAGUGGUCCGAAAUGGAGACAGAUACCUACUGGGCAGGCUACAAGCCCCCUCGGGAACUCCGGGAUCUGUCAAUGUCGAGCACUUUCAGUAGGCUCCCGGCGUGGAUUAAUUCCUCGCUGCUGCCGAACCUCUCCAAACUAAAAAUGGAUCUGUAUCAUUUUGAGGAGCCGGAUGUGGUCAACCUGGGGGGCUUGCCAAAGCUUUGUGACAUGGGAAAUUUGUGGAUAGACUCAUACAUUGAGUUCCCUGAUGGCGCGUUCCCCAAGUUGAGGUACUGCGGGAUACAUGCACCUUUCUGGUUUCUGCCGGGAAGCAUGCGGAGCCUUGAAUGCAUUACGUUUGGCUUCGGCACAAUGUGGUACAUGAGGGAUGCCGUCAUUGAUUUUGACUUUAUUAGUACCCUGGUGAACCUCCCUUCCCUCCGGUGGGUCUUCGCUAAUAUCGACUGCCAUGGUGCCCGUGCUUCUGAUGUGGAGAAGAUGGAGGCAGCUGUGAGGCAAGCAAUCGACAAUCAUCCCAACCAUCCCACGCUUGAUCUCGACAUGAGUGGUGACCCUCGGAUGAUAAAAGAACCAGCCUCCCCUCUUCUGCAUCAUGCUACUAGUGUUGGUACGUCUGCUCGGGAGGACAACAAAGAAUCGAGCUCCCAAGAGACACAACAAGAGUUCGACGACGACGAUGACAACCGCAUCAAACAAAAGCCGGAUCUGGAGCAGAAGAAGCAAGAUCAGUCCCAUGAAGGCCAGGCGUCGGAUUCCACCAAGGCAGAGCCGGAGAACCAACGCGAAGCCAACGAUGUCGACCCUGAUGCAGUGGAGAAGUGCUCAGUUCUCGACGUCCACCCCAGCUCUCCUGUCCCUCGCCUCAGUUUUGGCAUGUCUGCUCCAUCACCAGCGCACACAACAACCGCCGGUGUCAGUAACUCUGCUCAGGCGAUCAACGAGAAGGAGGAGGAAGAAGAAUCGCAGGCAGACCGACAGGAACAGCCGGCCGAGGAACACGAAGAAGCCGAGGACGGUUCAGCAGAGACCGUGCACGCAGUCGUCGCCACUAGUGUUGCAGAAAGCAGUGAGGCCGCCGCUGCUACGCCUGCUCCUCCUGUGCCCGCUCAACCAAGGUGGAGGCGUUGGGCGUGCUUUAGUUGCCUCAAGUCCGGCAGCAGUUCUUCUCACUAG